GUGCUCCUGCUGGCAGCACAUACACUAUAAUUGGAAUGAUACAGAGAAGAUUAGUAUGGCCCCUGUGCAAGGAUGACACAGAAAUUCAUGAAGCAUUUCAUAUUUUU
Phyllostomus discolor (pale spear-nosed bat) is the source of this 107-nucleotide small nuclear RNA. NCBI's taxonomy places the organism in Eukaryota, Metazoa, Chordata, Mammalia, Chiroptera, Phyllostomidae. The record is from RefSeq and is a predicted model, not a curated record.